This 540-nucleotide ribosomal RNA is filed under the name uncultured Fomes. Its description in RNAcentral is "eukaryotic LSU rRNA". It matches the Rfam family "Eukaryotic large subunit ribosomal RNA", at positions 86 to 607 of the family's 3401-position model. Lineage: Eukaryota; Fungi; Basidiomycota; Agaricomycetes; Polyporales; Polyporaceae. The record is from RNAcentral.
ACUGCGAGUGAAGCGGGAAAAGCUCAAAUUUAAAAUCUGGCGGUCUUUGGCCGUCCGAGUUGUAGUCUGGAGAAGUGCUUUCCGCGCUGGACCGUGUAUAAGUCUCUUGGAGCAGAGCGUCAUAGAGGGUGAGAAUCCCGUCUUUGACACGGACUACCAGUGCUUUGUGAUGCGCUCUCAAAGAGUCGAGUUGUUUGGGAAUGCAGCUCAAAAUGGGUGGUGAAUUCCAUCUAAAGCUAAAUAUUGGCGAGAGACCGAUAGCGAACAAGUACCGUGAGGGAAAGAUGAAAAGCACUUUGGAAAGAGAGUUAAACAGUACGUGAAAUUGCUGAAAGGGAAACGCUUGAAGUCAGUCGCGUUGUCCGGAACUCAGCCUUGCUUUUGCUUGGUGCACUUUCCGGAUGACGGGUCAGCAUCGAUUUUGACCGUCGGAAAAGGGCUGGAGUAAUGUGGCACCUCCGGGUGUGUUAUAGACUCUGGUCGCAUACGGCGGUUGGGAUCGAGGAACGCAGCGCGCCGCAAGGCAGGGGUUCGCCCACU